GAAUUAAACUCCUAACCUAUUAAGUAUUUGAUCAGAUAAGGGUGUCUACAUCUAUUUAAAUGGAGGGAACCUCAUCACUAAUAAUCAAGUCUUUGGUUUGCGUGACAAAAUAAAAGAAAGAGAGAAAGAUUAUCGUGAGAUAGGGAGAGGUUUUGUGCGAAAAGAGAGAGAGAGAGGGCAUCCUUCUUAUUUGCAUGCAGUUCUUGGUGCACCCCUUCUAAGUGUAAGGAACUUCAUCAGAGGUGUCCCCUAUUGUGAGAUUAGAUCUCCUCCCUUUUCUUGAUUCCCUUCUGAAGUAUUGGUGCAAGAUCUUCAUCUCUCUUUCCUGUGGGGCUU
This 336-nucleotide long non-coding RNA is filed under the name Elaeis guineensis (African oil palm). RNAcentral describes it as "long non-coding RNA (EGUI_LNC051356)". The record is from RNAcentral. Lineage: Eukaryota; Viridiplantae; Streptophyta; Magnoliopsida; Arecales; Arecaceae.